CCUACGGGGGGCUGCAGUGGGGAAUAUUGGACAAUGGGGGGAACCCUGAUCCAGCCAUGCCGCGUGUGUGAAGAAGGCCCUCGGGUUGUAAAGCACUUUCAGUGAGGAAGAACGCCUGGUGGUUAAUACCCAUCAGGAAAGACAUCACUCACAGAAGAAGCACCGGCUAACUCCGUGCCAGCAGCCGCGGUAAUACGGAGGGUGCGAGCGUUAAUCGGAAUUACUGGGCGUAAAGCGCGCGUAGGUGGCUUGAUAAGCCGGUUGUGAAAGCCCCGGGCUCAACCUGGGAACGGCAUCCGGAACUGUCAAGCUAGAGUGCAGGAGAGGAAGGUAGAAUUCCCGGUGUAGCGGUGAAAUGCGUAGAGAUCGGCAGGAAUACCAGUGGCGAAGGCGGCCUUCUGGACUGACACUGACACUGAGGUGCGAAAGCGUGGGUAGCAAACAGGAUUAGAUACCCUAGUAGUC
Molecule: ribosomal RNA, 465 nt
Filed under: Vreelandella stevensii
Lineage: Bacteria; Pseudomonadati; Pseudomonadota; Gammaproteobacteria; Oceanospirillales; Halomonadaceae
Description: partial 16S ribosomal RNA
Rfam family: Bacterial small subunit ribosomal RNA
Source: RNAcentral